AGUUCGAUUAUGGCUCAGAUUGAACGCUGGCGGGAUGCUUUACACAUGCAAGUCGAACGGCAGCACGGACUUGGUCUGGUGGCGAGCGGCGAACGGGUGAGUAAUGUAUCGGAACGUGCCUAGUAGCGGGGGAUAACUACGCGAAAGCGUAGCUAAUACCGCAUACCGCUCCUCGGGGAAAGCGGGGGACCUUCGGGCCUCGCACUAUUAGAGCGGCCGAUAUCGGAUUAGCUAGUUGGUGGGUAACGGCUCACCAAGGCGACGAUCCGUGGCUGGUUUGAGAGGACGACCAGCCACACUGGGACUGAGACACGGCCCAGACCCUACGGGAGGCAGCAGUGGGGAAUUUUGACAAUGGGGAAACCCCGAUCCAGCCAUCCCGCGUGUGUGAUGAAGGCCUUCGGGUUGUAAAGCACUUUUGGUGUGAAAAGAAACGGCACGGGAUAAUACCCCGUGCAACUGACGGUACCUGCAGAAUAAUACCUUAUAAUCCGGGCCAGCAGCCGCGGUAAUACGUAGGGUGCAAGCGUUAAUCGAAUUACUGGGCGUAAAAGCGUGCGCAGCAGGCGGUUCGGAAAGAAAGAUGUGAAAUCCCAGAGCUUAACUUUGGAACUGCAUUUUUAACUACCGAGCUAGAGGUGUCAGAGGGAGGUGGAAUUCGGCGUGUAGCAGUGAAAUGCGUAGAUAUGCGGAGGAACACCGAUGGCGAAGGCAGCCUCCUGGGAUAACACUGACGCUUCAUGCACGAAAGCGGGAGCAAACAGGAUUAGAUACCCUGGUAGUCCACGCUCCUAAACGAUGUCAACUAGCUGUUGGGGCCUUCGGGCCUGGUAGCGCAGCUAACGCGUGAAGUUGACCGCCUGGGGAGUACGGUCGUGAUUAAACCCAAAGGAAUUGACGGGGACCUCGCACAAGCGGUGGAUGAUGUGGAUUAAUUCGAUGCAACGCGAAAACCUUACCUACCCUUGACAUGUCUGGAAUCCCGAAGAGAUUUGGGAGUGCUCGCAAGAGAACCGGAACACAGGUGCUGCAUGGCUGUCGUCAGCUCGUGUCGUGAGAUGUUGGGUUAAGUCCCAACGAGCGCAACCCUUGUCAGCGAAGUUGCUACGAAAGGGCACUCUUAAUGAGACUGCCGGUGACAAACCGGAGGAAGGUGGGGAUGACGUCAAGUCCUCAUGGCCCUUAUGGGUAGGGCUUCACACGUCAUACAAUGGUCGGGACAGAGGGUCGCCAACCUGCGAGGGGGAGCCAAUCCCAGAAACCCGAUCGUAGUCCGGAUCGCAGUCUGCAACUCGACUGCGUAGUCGGAAUCGCUAGUAAUCGCGGAUCAGCAUGUCGCGGUGAAUACGUUCCUGGUCUUGUACACACCGCCCGUCACACCAUGGAGGGUUUUACCAGAAGUAGUUAGCUCAACCGUAAGGAGGGCGAUUACCACGGUAGGAUUCAUGACUUCGGGGUGAAGUCGUAACAAGGUAA
RNAcentral lists this ribosomal RNA (1476 nucleotides) under uncultured Bordetella sp. RNAcentral's name for it is "partial 16S-23S ribosomal RNA intergenic spacer". It matches the Rfam family "Bacterial small subunit ribosomal RNA". The record is from RNAcentral. Lineage: Bacteria; Pseudomonadati; Pseudomonadota; Betaproteobacteria; Burkholderiales; Alcaligenaceae.